Non-coding RNA from Salvelinus sp. IW2-2015, 123 nucleotides. The record is from RefSeq and is a predicted model, not a curated record. NCBI's taxonomy places the organism in Eukaryota, Metazoa, Chordata, Actinopteri, Salmoniformes, Salmonidae.
UAACCUUCUACAAAACACCCAUAUACACAUCACAGGAGGUAGGUCUACACAGUUAACCUUCUACAAAACACCAUAGACACAUCACAGGAGGUAGGUCUACACAGUUAACCUUCUACAAAACAC